Molecule: ribosomal RNA, 406 nt
Filed under: uncultured bacterium
Lineage: Bacteria
Description: partial 16S ribosomal RNA
Rfam family: Bacterial small subunit ribosomal RNA
Source: RNAcentral
GAUGAACGCUAGCUACAGGCUUAACACAUGCAAGUCGAGGGCCCGGCGCACGGGUGAGUAACACGUAUCCAACCUGCCCUUUACUCGGGGAUAACCUUUCGAAAGAAAGAUUAAUACCCGAUAUAAAGGAUGGGGAUGCGUUCCAUUAGGUUGUUGGUGAGGUAACGGCUCACCAAGCCUUCGAUGGAUAGGGGUUCUGAGAGGCAGGGCCCCCACAACGGAACUGCGACACAGGCCACACUCGUACGGGGGGCAGCAGUGAGGAGUACUGGGGAAUGGGGGCUAGCCUGGACCAGCCAAGUAUCGUGAAGGAUGAAUGCUUAGUGGUCGUAAUAUUGUUGUAUAGAAGAAGCUGUAUUAUAUGAAGAAGGAUCGGCUAACUCCGUGCCAGCAGCCGCGGUAAUAC